This 596-nucleotide ribosomal RNA is filed under the name Phenacogrammus interruptus (Congo tetra). Its description in RNAcentral is "partial 16S large subunit ribosomal RNA". It matches the Rfam family "Bacterial large subunit ribosomal RNA", at positions 1809 to 2609 of the family's 2925-position model. Lineage: Eukaryota; Metazoa; Chordata; Actinopteri; Characiformes; Alestidae. The record is from RNAcentral.
AAAAACAUCGCCUCCUGCUAACCCUUCAACGUAUAGGAGGUCUUACCUGCCCAGUGACAUUCGUGUUAAACGGCCGCGGUAUUUUGACCGUGCUAAGGUAGCGCAAUCACUUGUUUUUUAAAUGAAGACCUGUAUGAAUGGUGAAACGAGGGCUUAACUGUCUCCCCCUCCCAGUCAAUGAAACUGAUCUGUUCGUGCAGAAGCGAACAUAUACCUACAAGACGAGAAGACCCUUUGGAGCUUUAGACAAAGGCCAACUAUUCCCAACCCCUACAUUAAAUAGGACAAAACGAAAUACCACCUGACCAAAGUCUUCGGUUGGGGCGACCAUGGGGAAAAACAAAACCCCCACGUGGAAUAGACCAUUCUCUUUAUCCGAGAGAAAUAUCUCUAAGUCACAGAACAUCUGACCAUAAUGAUCCGACCAAUCGGCCGAUUAACAAACCAAGUUACCCUAGGGAUAACAGCGCAAUCCCCUUCAAGAGUCCUUAUCGACAAGGGGGUUUACGACCUCGAUGUUGGAUCAGGACAUCCUAAUGGCGCAGCCGCUAUUAAGGGUUCGUUUGUUCAACGAUUAAAGUCCUACGUGAUCUGAG